UUAACAAAAACAUGUCCUUUUGAUAAUAAUUUAAGGUCUAACCUGCCCACUGAAUUUUAAAUGGCCGCGGUAUUUUGACCGUGCAAAGGUAGCAUAAUCAUUAGUUUUUUAAUUGAAAGCUGGAAUGAAUGGUUGAAUGAGAAAGCAGCUGUCUCAGAUUUAUUUUUUUAGAAUUUUAUAUUUAAGUCAAAAAGCUUAAAUUUAAUUAAAAGACGAGAAGACCCUAUAGAAUUUUAUAUGAAUUACUUUAAUUAUUAGUAGAUUUGGGUUAUUUUUAAUUUAAUUUUAUAUUUUGUUGGGGUGACAGAAAAAUUUAAGGAACUUUUUUUGAAUUUUUUCACUAAUUAGUGUUUAUUUGAUCCAAUGGAUUUUGAUUAUAAGAAUAAAUUACCUUAGGGAUAACAGCGUAAUUUUUUUUGAGAGUUCUUAUCGAAAAAGAAGAUUGCGACCUCGAUGUUGGAUUAAAGUUUAUUUAUGGUGCAGAAGCUAUAAGAUUGGGUCUGUUCGACCCUUGAAACUUUACAUGAUCUGAGUU
Molecule: ribosomal RNA, 535 nt
Filed under: Trogossita japonica
Lineage: Eukaryota; Metazoa; Arthropoda; Insecta; Coleoptera; Trogossitidae
Description: partial 16S ribosomal RNA
Rfam family: Archaeal large subunit ribosomal RNA
Source: RNAcentral